AUUGAACGCUGGCGGCGUGCCUAACACAUGCAAGUCGAGCGGUAGCAGGCGUAGCAAUACGUGCUGACGAGCGGCGAACGGGUGAGCAAUGCUUCGGAAUCUGCCCAAUGGUGGGGAAUAACCAGCCGAAAGGUUGGCUAAUACCGCAUACGCCUACGGGGAAGGACAGGGAGUCGCAAGACCUUGCGCCGAUGGAUGAGCCGAAGUCGGAUUAGCUAGUUGGUAGGGUAACGGCCGUACCAAGGCGACGAUCCGUAGCUGGUCUGAGAGGACGACCAGCCACACUGGGACUGAGACACGGCCCAGACUCCUACGGGAGGCAGCAGUGGGGAAUAUUGGACAAUGGGCGAAAGCCUGAUCCAGCGACGCCGCGUGUGUGAAGAAGGCCUGCGGGUUGUAAAGCACUUUUAGUGGGGAUGAAAGCCUAGAGCUAAUACCUCUGGGUCUUGACCUAACCCACAGAAAAAGCACCGGCUAACUCUGUGCCAG
This 489-nucleotide ribosomal RNA is filed under the name uncultured bacterium. RNAcentral's name for it is "bacterial SSU rRNA". It matches the Rfam family "Bacterial small subunit ribosomal RNA", at positions 29 to 511 of the family's 1533-position model. The record is from RNAcentral.